AAAUUCAUAAAGACCAACUAUUGUUUGAGUUCCGGAGUUUGAUCCAGUAUGCCUUUUGGGCAUUGCCCUGAAAAAGGAGCUUCCUUCCAACUGGUUGAAGACAACUCAAUGCGGCCCCCAGUCAGGUCAUGAUUGAGUACCCAUGUGGGUUUCUGCAUAACGGAUUGGGUUAUACAUGAACUCCCCCUGAUAUAACAAUUUGGUUAUGCAUCCUUAGUCAUUUGGCUGUUCUAUGUAUACAGGUUGGGUUAUGCAUGAAUAGCCAAAUGGUUUUCUACCUAGCCACAAAAGUUUAUGGCAAUGGUUCUGUACAAGAAAACCGGAAGAGUGGGGG
This is a non-coding RNA of Phoenix dactylifera (date palm), 334 nucleotides long. NCBI's taxonomy places the organism in Eukaryota, Viridiplantae, Streptophyta, Magnoliopsida, Arecales, Arecaceae. The record is from RefSeq and is a predicted model, not a curated record.